CCCUUAGAUGUUCUGGGCUGCACGCGCGCUACACUGAAGCGUUCAACGAGUAUUCACCUUGCCCGGGAGGGUUGGGUAAUCUUUUGAAAACGCUUCGUGAUGGGGAUAGAUUAUUGCAAUUAUUAAUCUUCAACGAGGAAUUCCUAGUAAGCGCAAGUCAUCAGCUUGCGUUGAUUACGUCCCUGCCCUUUGUACACACCGCCCGUCGCUCCUACCGAUUGAAUGGUCCGGUGAAGCGUUCGGACCGUGGCCUUUGGACGGUUCGCCGUCUGUUGGCUGCGGGAAGUUCGUUAAACCUUAUCAUUUAGAGGAAGGAGAANUCGUAACA
This 328-nucleotide ribosomal RNA is filed under the name uncultured eukaryote. RNAcentral's name for it is "partial 18S ribosomal RNA". It matches the Rfam family "Eukaryotic small subunit ribosomal RNA", at positions 1470 to 1796 of the family's 1831-position model. The record is from RNAcentral.